GAUGAACGCUGGCGGCGUGCCUAAUACAUGCAAGUCGAGCGAACAGACGUGGAUCUUGCUCCUCUGACGUUAGCGGCGGACGGGUGAGUAACACGUGGAUAACCUACCUAUAAGACUGGGAUAACUUCGGGAAACCGGAGCUAAUACCGGAUAAUAGAUUGAACCGCAUGGUUCAAUAGUGAAAGACGGUUUUGCUGGCAAUGAUAGAUGGAUCCGGGCCGCAGUAGCUAGUUGGUAAGGUAACGGCUUACCAAGGCAACGAUGCGUAGCCGACCUGGGAGAGUGACCGGCGACACUGGAACUGAGAGACGGUCCAGACUCCGACGGGAAGCCGCCGUAGGGACUCUUCCGCAGUGGGCGAAAGCCUGACGGAGCAACGCGGCGAAGGUGAUCAAGGUCUUCGGGUCGUAAAGCUGUGUUAUUAGGGAACAACAACUGUUUAAGUAGCUAUACACGUCUUGACGGUACCUGGUCAAAAAGCAACGGCUAACUCCGUG
RNAcentral lists this ribosomal RNA (497 nucleotides) under uncultured bacterium. Its description in RNAcentral is "partial 16S ribosomal RNA". It matches the Rfam family "Bacterial small subunit ribosomal RNA", at positions 28 to 507 of the family's 1533-position model. The record is from RNAcentral.